AAAUAAAUAACUAAAAAAACUUUAUUUUAAAUCUAAAUAUACUCUAUCCUCAUUUAUAAAAAUAAACUUUAUUUUUUAAAACAAUUUUAAAUUUACAAAAAAUUAAACAAAUAAUAAAAAAUUCGUAUACAACUCUUACCUCCCCCUCGUCCCCAUAAAAUUUCCCUAUUAAUAACAACUCACAUUAAUAUAAAACAUUUAUUACAAUUAAUAAAUCAAUCUUAAUACAUUAUUAUUAAUUAAAACCCAUA
RNAcentral lists this unclassified non-coding RNA (251 nucleotides) under Hevea brasiliensis (rubber tree). Lineage: Eukaryota; Viridiplantae; Streptophyta; Magnoliopsida; Malpighiales; Euphorbiaceae. The record is from RNAcentral.